UUCUUUUUUUUUUUUUUUAAGAUUACAUUUUUAAAAAUGAGAAUUGCUACAAGGAGUUACUUUGGGGUUUGAAUAGCAUUGGGUUGAUUAAUUCCCUCUUGGUUGGAAUGACUAUUUGAGCAUUCAGGCCUUAGAGCCACGACUAUUAAGGUCCAGAAGCAAAAAUGAUUACAUGAUGAUUCAAGUGACUUUCUGAUUAUACUGCUUAAUGAAAUUAACACUGAAGUUUGAAACAUUGUGUUCAGAAGUCAAAUGGUUAUUUUCCAAGGAUCUAUUAAAAAAAAAAAGUUUCAUUUCAGAGGAUAAAAUGUUGCAGUCCUUCUAUCUCCAAGUGAGUAAGGAUUAGUAAGUAGUUCAGUUGGUUCCUGCAAAUUACAGAUUCAGUUAUAUUUUAUUUAUUCAAUAUGGGAGAAGUUUUUGUAAGUGUUGGGUGAGUCAUUUCAUAAGACCAAAGCCAAGCUAAAUUAGAGCAGCCCCUGGUUGAAGAUAUUUUUAUUGCAAUGAGUAGGUCUCUCUCUCAGUUUUGGAUACACAGGUGUGGUCAAACUUUGGCAUAGAAAGUAAGUAGAAUUAUGAAUUCUAAGGCAAUGACUCCUAAUGUCUUGACUAUGCAAUGCUACAGACUCAUCUAUACCCAUUUACUGUAAGAAACAAAACAUGUGACAGAGAAAAGUAGGUAGAAGCAGUUGAAUUUGUUUCCCCUUUAUCUUCCACUUAUCGAUGACCCCAAGGACCCAAAUACCUACUCUUUACAAAAAGGAUAUAAUAUAUAGUUUACAGAGAAAUAACCUCCUAGAAAACUGUUCUUGUGAAUUACUUUUUUGUGCCUAUCAAGCUUUCUAUUUUGUGGGUCGUGGAUUUAAUAGGUUGUAAUGCUGUUUAAACACCAUAGAUACUUAAUGCACCAUGAAAAGCCCCUAAGCUAUGGGAAAUUGCAAAAAUGUCUCAGUGCCAUGGUCACAAAUGUGAAUGAUCUUCUCACCAUGAACUUCAAAGGUAAAAUGAAAUUACAUUUCCCGUAGAUUUCCCAGUGUUCAUUGUCCAGUGACCAUGGUCCCCGAGAUUUCACCUAUGUCUCUCUUAGGAUUCUGUUCCAGUCAGUCAGCCAAUUGUCAGCUACAGUAGCUCUGGAAACUCGUUCUGGGUCGUAUCAGGAGUUUUAUCAAGGGUACAGCCAAGCAGUUGUAACCACAGUUAUCUUUCGGGCACAUCAAAUAAUGACUUUGUGCAGGUCAGGGAGUAGUUUCCUGGUGGUGUCGGUGCCAGUGUAACAGGCAGUUGAAUCAGGAGUCUCUGGUCUAAACAUAGUAUCUAUCAAUAAAGCAGUCACAUGUGCAAGUACUAGUUUUCAUAAUCAAUUUUGGCAAAUAGAAAUCAAGAGAUAUUUAAGAACUAGAAUUUAAAGAUUAUAAUUACAUAGAUAUUCACUUCAGAAUUUGAAAAAUACAUGAAAAGGAAUAAAAUGGUUUUAGCACACAGUAGGGGGUAUGCAAACAUGAUGAUGUAAGCUUCUGUGUUUACAUUUCUUCUCAUUUUUAUACUUACUGUUUUUUUUAAAGAUUUAUUUAUUAAUUUUAGGGAGACAGAGAGUACAUGAUCAGGAGGGACAGUGGGAGAGGGCGAGGGAGGGAGAAUCUUAAGCAGGAUCCACACUGAGUGCCAAGCCUGACAUGGGGUUCUAUCUCAUGACCCUGAGAUCCCCACCCGAGCCAAAACCAAGAGUCAGAUGCUCAACCAACUGCGCCACCGAGGCACCACUUGUUUUUAUUGAGAGAGAAAGUUUAUGAAAUUUUGUUGGGAGAGUAGCAUGUUAUGCUUUCUUUACUGAAAAGUCUACAUCUUCUCCAAAUCAGUA
RNAcentral lists this long non-coding RNA (1855 nucleotides) under Canis lupus familiaris (dog). RNAcentral's name for it is "lncRNA (ENSCAFG00000051896.1)". The record is from RNAcentral. Lineage: Eukaryota; Metazoa; Chordata; Mammalia; Carnivora; Canidae.